GUAAGGAAUAUUGGACAAUGGACGCUAGUCUGAUCCAGCCAUGCCGCGUGAAGGAUUAAGGUCCUCUGGAUUGUAAACUUCUUUUAUAAGGGACGAAAAAAGGCUUUUCUAAGUCGUCUGACGGUACCUUAUGAAUAAGCACCGGCUAACUCCGUGCCAGCAGCCGCGGUAAUACGGAGGGUGCAAGCGUUAUCCGGAUUCACUGGGUUUAAAGGGUGCGUAGGCGGGCAGGUAAGUCAGUGGUGAAAUCCUAGAGCUUAACUCUAGAACUGCCAUUGAUACUAUCUGUCUUGAAUAUUGUGGAGGUAAGCGGAAUAUGUCAUGUAGCGGUGAAAUGCUUAGAUAUGACAUAGAACACCUAUUGCGAAGGCAGCUUACUACGCAUAUAUUGACGCUGAGGCACGAAAGCGUGGGGAUCAAACAGGAUUAGAUACCCCUGUAGUCC
RNAcentral lists this ribosomal RNA (445 nucleotides) under uncultured bacterium. Its description in RNAcentral is "partial 16S ribosomal RNA". It matches the Rfam family "Bacterial small subunit ribosomal RNA", at positions 354 to 796 of the family's 1533-position model. The record is from RNAcentral.